CACGGCGCACGGGUGCGUAACACGUGGGUAACCUGCCCUUCGGUGGGGAAUAACCCCGCGAAAGCGGGGCUAAUUCCGCAUGACAUUCCCUUCGGCAAAGGAGCGCCGGAGGAGGGGCCCGCGCCCGAUUAGCUCGUUGGUAGGGUAAUGGCCUACCAAGGCUAUGAUCGGUAGCCGGUCUGAGAGGAUGGCCGGCCACACUGGAACUGAGACACGGUCCAGACUCCUACGGGAGGCAGCAGUGGGGAAUCUUGCGCAAUGGGCGAAAGCCUGACGCAGCGACGCCGCGUGGGGGAUGAAGCUUCUCGGAGUGUAAACCCCUUUCGACCCGGACGAAAGACGGUACGGGUAUAAGAAG
This 358-nucleotide ribosomal RNA is filed under the name uncultured soil bacterium. Its description in RNAcentral is "bacterial SSU rRNA". It matches the Rfam family "Bacterial small subunit ribosomal RNA", at positions 94 to 490 of the family's 1533-position model. The record is from RNAcentral.